This 253-nucleotide ribosomal RNA is filed under the name uncultured bacterium. RNAcentral describes it as "partial 16S ribosomal RNA". It matches the Rfam family "Bacterial small subunit ribosomal RNA", at positions 524 to 776 of the family's 1533-position model. The record is from RNAcentral.
UACGGGGGGGGCUAGCGUUGUUCGGAAUUACUGGGCGUAAAGGGCGCGUAGGCGGUCUGCUAAGUUGGAUGUGAAAACUCUGGGCUUAACCCAGAGCCUGCAUUCAAUACUGACAGGCUAGAGUUCUGGAGGGGAUAGCGGAAUUCCUGGUGUAGCGGUGAAAUGCGUAGAUAUCAGGAGGAACACCGGUGGCGAAGGCGGCUAUCUGGACAGAAACUGACGCUGAGGCGCGAAAGCUAGGGGAGCAAACAGG